AUGUAGCCCCGAUUGUAGUGGAAAUCCUGGCAUUGCGUGCGAGCAAGUUCAACGGAUUGCUUCGUUCCUCGCAAUGACAGAUUGGAACGGAAAGCGGGACUUAAA
Molecule: small RNA, 105 nt
Filed under: Halpernia humi
Lineage: Bacteria; Pseudomonadati; Bacteroidota; Flavobacteriia; Flavobacteriales; Weeksellaceae
Description: Chryseobacterium humi Flavo-1 RNA
Rfam family: Flavo-1 RNA
Source: RNAcentral